RNAcentral lists this ribosomal RNA (506 nucleotides) under uncultured bacterium. Its description in RNAcentral is "partial 16S ribosomal RNA". It matches the Rfam family "Bacterial small subunit ribosomal RNA", at positions 29 to 523 of the family's 1533-position model. The record is from RNAcentral.
AGUGAACGCUGGCGGUAGGCCUAACACAUGCAAGUCGAACGGCAGCACAGAGGAGCUUGCUCCUUGGGUGGCGAGUGGCGGACGGGUGAGGAAUACAUCGGAAUCUACUCUGUCGUGGGGGAUAACGUAGGGAAACUUACGCUAAUACCGCAUACGACCUACGGGUGAAAGCAGGGGAUCUUCGGACCUUGCGCGAUUGAAUGAGCCGAUGUCGGAUUAGCUAGUUGGCGGGGUAAAGGCCCACCAAGGCGACGAUCCGUAGCUGGUCUGAGAGGAUGAUCAGCCACACUGGAACUGAGACACGGUCCAGACUCCUACAGGAGGCAGCAGUAGGGAAUAUUGGACAAUGGGCGCAAGCCUGAUCCAGCCAUACCGCGUGGGUGAAGAAGGCCUUCGGGUUGUAAAGCCCUUUUGUUGGGAAAGAAAUCCAUCUGGUUAAUACCCGGGUGGGAUGACGGUACCCAAAGAAUAAGCACCGGCUAACCUCGUGCCAGCCGCCGCAGUAA